Molecule: ribosomal RNA, 492 nt
Filed under: uncultured bacterium
Lineage: Bacteria
Description: partial 16S ribosomal RNA
Rfam family: Bacterial small subunit ribosomal RNA
Source: RNAcentral
AGUGAACGCUGGCGGUAGGCCUAACACAUGCAAGUCGAACGGCAGCACAGUAAGAGCUUGCUCUUACGGGUGGCGAGUGGCGGACGGGUGAGGAAUACAUCGGAAUCUACUUUUUCGUGGGGGAUAACGUAGGGAAACUUACGCUAAUACCGCAUACGACCUACGGGUGAAAGCAUGGGAUCUUCGGACCUUGCGCGAUUGAAUGAGCCGAUGUCGGAUUAGCUAGUUGGCGGGGUAAAGGCCCACCAAGGCGACGAUCCGUAGCUGGUCUGAGAGGAUGAUCAGCAACACUGGAACUGAGACACGGUCCAGACUCCUACGGGAGGCAGCAGUGGGGAAUAUUGGACAAUGGGCGCAAGCCUGAUCCAGCCAUACCGCGUGGGUGAAGAAGGCCUUCGGGUUGUAAAGCACUUUUGUUGGGAAAGAAAAGCAGCAGGUUAAUACCCCGCUGUUCUGACGGUACCAAAAGAAUAAGCACCGGCUAACUUCGUG